Molecule: ribosomal RNA, 253 nt
Filed under: uncultured bacterium
Lineage: Bacteria
Description: partial 16S ribosomal RNA
Rfam family: Bacterial small subunit ribosomal RNA
Source: RNAcentral
GACGAAGGAUGCAAGCGUUAUCCGGAUUCAUUGGGUUUAAAGGGAGCGUAGGUGGCCUUAUAAGUCAGUGGUGAAAUCUCUGGGCUUAACCCAGAAAUUGCCAUUGAUACUGUAGGGCUUGAGUAUAGUUGCCGUUGGCGGAAUAUGACAUGUAGUGGUGAAAUACAUAGAGAUGUCAUAGAACACCGAUUGCGAAGGCAGCUGACGAAACUAUAACGGACACUGAGGCUCGAAAGUGCGGGGAUCAAACAGG